UGCCAGCCGCCGCGGUAAUACGGAGGGUGCGAGCGUUAAUCGGAAUUACUGGGCGUAAAGCGCGCGUAGGCGGUUUGUUAAGUCGGAUGUGAAAUCCCCGGGCUCAACCUGGGAACUGCACCCGAUACUGACCGACUAGAGUACGAGAGAGGGAGGUAGAAUUCCACGUGUAGCGGUGAAAUGCGUAGAUAUGUGGAGGAAUACCAGUGGCGAAGGCGGCCUCCUGGCUCGAUACUGACGCUGAGGUGCGAAAGCGUGGGGAGCAAACAGGAUUAGAUA
Molecule: ribosomal RNA, 279 nt
Filed under: uncultured bacterium
Lineage: Bacteria
Description: partial 16S ribosomal RNA
Rfam family: Bacterial small subunit ribosomal RNA
Source: RNAcentral